This is a long non-coding RNA of Cervus elaphus (red deer), 656 nucleotides long. RefSeq lists it as uncharacterized. The transcript has 4 exons. The record is from RefSeq and is a predicted model, not a curated record. Lineage: Eukaryota; Metazoa; Chordata; Mammalia; Artiodactyla; Cervidae.
UAGCAGUUUUCAUCCAGCCCCUUCAGAUGAGGAAACUGAGGCCCCACGAGGCUGACUGACUUGGGCAAGGCCUCCACAAGUUAGAGCCUAGAACUCAGAACCCCCAACUCACCAAGGGUUCCCUGCCUCAGAGCAUCGGAGAAUCACCUGGCUCAACACAACUGCCAAAGAUUGUGAAAAUAAAUGAAGUAGCAGCUACUUGAAUUUUAGAAUCUACUUUCCACCAUGAGGAAUUCUUUUAAUUGAGAUAAAACUGAUAACUUGGAUCUUACGUUACUCACAAUUGAACUCUCAGGACCACAGUGAGAAAUCCAAACACAAGGCCGGCUAGUAAACCGAGGUCCAGUCCCAGAAUGAUGGAUGCUAUGCACGUAAAUACCCAGAUAACCUAGGAAAACAUGAAAAUGAAAAAUGCUAAUUCAUCGGGUACCAUGAGCAACCCCUAAUAGAGGCAGCAUGCUCCCCAAGCAGAGAGAGUGGCAGCACCACGCUCCUUCCUGGGAAACUACACUCAGCAUCUCAGCAUCUCAGCGUCUCAGCAUCUCAGCAUCUCAGCAUGGAGCCGUCAUUGCUCUGAACUGUGUUUGUGAGCACCUGUUCAUCUCAGUGUAUUUUGUGCAUCUGUUUGCAAGAUGUGUCUUAAGGUAACUGCUUCU